Molecule: ribosomal RNA, 153 nt
Filed under: Ocellularia croceopora
Lineage: Eukaryota; Fungi; Ascomycota; Lecanoromycetes; Ostropales; Graphidaceae
Description: 5.8S ribosomal RNA
Rfam family: 5.8S ribosomal RNA
About the family: 5.8S ribosomal RNA (5.8S rRNA) is a component of the large subunit of the eukaryotic ribosome. It is transcribed by RNA polymerase I as part of the 45S precursor that also contains 18S and 28S rRNA. Functionally, it is thought that 5.8S rRNA may be involved in ribosome translocation.
Source: RNAcentral
AAACUUUCAACAACGGAUCUCUUGGUUCUGGCAUCGAUGAAGAACGCAGCGAAAUGCGAUAAGUAAUGUGAAUUGCAGAAUUCAGUGAAUCAUCGAAUCUUUGAACGCACAUUGCGCCCUCUGGUAUUCUGGGGGGCAUGCCUGUUCGAGCGU